RNAcentral lists this transfer RNA (73 nucleotides) under bacterium. Its description in RNAcentral is "tRNA-Lys". It matches the Rfam family "tRNA". From Rfam's summary of the family: Transfer RNA (tRNA) molecules are approximately 80 nucleotides in length. Their secondary structure includes four short double-helical elements and three loops (D, anti-codon, and T loops). The record is from RNAcentral. RNAcentral also lists the same sequence under 2 other names.
GCCCCCUUAGCUCAACUGGUAGAGCAAGAUCCUUUUAAGAUCGAGGUUAUAGGUUCGAGUCCUAUAGGGGGCA